GCUGCACUAGAGGAAUGGCAACGCGCCGGCCUCCUAAGCUGGAGAUUCUGGGUUUGAGUCCCAGGUGCAGUG
Molecule: non-coding RNA, 72 nt
Organism: Hypoxylon sp. FL0890
Lineage: Eukaryota; Fungi; Ascomycota; Sordariomycetes; Xylariales; Hypoxylaceae
Source: the annotation of a GenBank genome assembly